UAAAAAAGUGCGUGACCAUUUUAACUUUCAAUGGGAGCCCUGAGCUUGUUUCGCUGCAACGAGAUGCUCCCAUCUGGGGGUAAUUGGAGACAAUGACACCCGAAGUGUGUUGCUUAUGUCCAGUCUGCUCCGUUGUCUUGUUUUGGUUGCUGUCACUGCAGUAAACCCCGCUUCACACAGACAGGUUGUCGGAAAUGGCAGCAGGUUUUUCAGUGCUGUGGUGGCAAUCUCCGGGUAUUCUGCCAUGACUUUAAUCCAGGACAUCGGUUGUUGUCUCGAAAGUGCUUUUAAAGCCGCCGUCGUUUGCGAUCUCCAGCAGUUGAUCUUCUUCUUCAGACGUGCUGGAUUCACCUGGCUUGUUGAUAAAUGGGUCACGGAUCCAUCCCUUGCCAGUUCCUGGGUCCUUUUUGGUUGGGAAGCAGCGCUCGAACUCUUUUAAAAGCAAAGAUCGUGCACCAGCUGUGAGAAUGAAUUCUCAGGCUCAGUCUCACAAAAAUCCCUGCUAAUGUCUGAAACAUGUCCAAUAUGCCUCUGUUCACGCGCCGUCCCCACAAAUCCAGUUUAGCUUUAAAUGCAGCUACUUUAUCUGCCACCUUGAAGACUGUUGUCAUUUUCCCCUGAAGUGACAGAUUGGAGUCAUUGAGCAGGAGGAAUAUGUCGCCCAGUAACAGGACAGGAGACUCACCCAGUGAAUAAGAAUGCUGAGGCUUUUGAACUAAGCUUUUUAAUUGCUGUGACUUGCUCUAUCUCUUGAGCCAGCACCCAGCAGUUCUACCAACCCUUCCAAGUGUCAUACUCAUGACCUAGUAAAUGAAAUUGUGAUGCUGGAGAAAUGCAUGACAUGUUACACACCUCUGACAUCUUUCAAGUGGCAUGGAGUCUGAUGCAAAGGGUCGCCGGGCUCUUCCUUAGAGAUAGGGUGGGAAUCUCGGUGAUGCGUGAGAG
Pygocentrus nattereri (red-bellied piranha) is the source of this 945-nucleotide long non-coding RNA. RefSeq lists it as uncharacterized. The transcript is spliced from 4 exons. Lineage: Eukaryota; Metazoa; Chordata; Actinopteri; Characiformes; Serrasalmidae. The record is from RefSeq and is a predicted model, not a curated record.